Molecule: ribosomal RNA, 635 nt
Filed under: uncultured bacterium
Lineage: Bacteria
Description: bacterial SSU rRNA
Rfam family: Bacterial small subunit ribosomal RNA
Source: RNAcentral
UUAGAGUUUGAUCCUGGCUCAGGAUGAACGCUAGCGGUAGGCCUAACACAUGCAAGUCGAGGGGUAACGAGUUUAGCUUGCUAAAUGUCCACGACCGGCGCACGGGUGCGUAACGCGUAUACAAUCUACCUUACACAGAGGGAUAGCCCACAGAAAUUUGGAUUAAUACCUCAUGGCAUUAUUAGCUCGCAUGGGCUUGAUAAUUAAAACUUCUUGUGGUGUAAGAUGAGUAUGCGUCCCAUUAAAUAGUUAGGAGAGGUAACGGCUCACCAAGUCAACGAUGGGUAGGGGGCCUGAGAGGGUUGUCCCCCACACUGGUACUGAGACACCGACCAGACUCCUACGGGAGGCAGCAGUGAGGAAGAUUGGUCAAUGGAGGGAACUCUGAACCACCCAUACCGCGUGCAGGAAGAAUGCCCUAUGGGUUGUAAACAGCUUUUAUUUGGGAAGAACCCUGAUUACUUGUAAUCAGCUGACGGUACCGGACCAAUGAUGACCGGCUAACUCCGUGACAACAGCCGCGGGAAUACUGAGGGUCCAAGCGUUAUCCAGAAUUAUUGUGUUUAAAGGGUCCGCAGGCGGCAUUAUCAGUCAGUGGUGAAAUCUCGAUGCUCAACAUCGAAACUGCCACUGAU